GACCAGACUCCUACGGGAGGCAGCAGUGGGGAAUAUUGCACAAUGGGGGAAACCCUGAUGCAGCGACGCCGCGUGAGCGAUGAAGUAUUUCGGUAUGUAAAGCUCUAUCAGCAGGGAAGAAGGUGACGGUACCUGACUAAGAAGCCCCGGCUAACUACGUGCCAGCAGCCGCGGUAAUACGUAGGGGGCAAGCGUUAUCCGGAUUUACUGGGUGUAAAGGGGGCGCAGACGGCGAUGCAAGCCAGGAGUGAAAGCCCGGGGCCCAACCCCGGGACUGCUCUUGGAACUGCGUGGCUGGAGUGCAGGAGGGGCAGGCGGAAUUCCUGGUGUAGCGGUGAAAUGCGUAGAUAUCAGGAGGAACACCGGUGGCGAAGGCGGCCUGCUGGACUGCAACUGACGUUGAGGCCCGAAAGCGUGGGGAGCAAACAGGAUUAGAUACCCUAGUA
This 446-nucleotide ribosomal RNA is filed under the name uncultured bacterium. Its description in RNAcentral is "bacterial SSU rRNA". It matches the Rfam family "Bacterial small subunit ribosomal RNA", at positions 329 to 792 of the family's 1533-position model. The record is from RNAcentral.